GGGGCGUUGGCCGAGUGGUCUAGGCAGCAAACUCAUAAUUUGCCUUACGGGGGUUCAAUUCCCUCACGCCCCA
Molecule: transfer RNA, 73 nt
Filed under: Synechococcaceae cyanobacterium SM2_3_1
Lineage: Bacteria; Bacillati; Cyanobacteriota; Cyanophyceae; Synechococcales; Synechococcaceae
Description: tRNA-Ile
Rfam family: tRNA
About the family: Transfer RNA (tRNA) molecules are approximately 80 nucleotides in length.
Source: RNAcentral